GCCAGUCUGCGUGGAGCCAACCUUGAAAUACCACCCUUUAAUGUUUGAUGUUCUAACGUAGACCCGUGAUCCGGGUUGCGGACAGUGUCUGGUGGGUAGUUUGACUGGGGCGGUCUCCUCCCAAAGAGUAACGGAGGAGCACGAAGGUUAGCUAAUCCUGGUCGGACAUCAGGAGGUUAGUGCAAUGGCAUAAGCUAGCUUGACUGCGAGCGUGACGGCGCGAGCAGGUGCGAAAGCAGGUCAUAGUGAUCCGGUGGUUCUGAAUGGAAGGGCCAUCGCUCAACGGAUAAAAGGUACUCCGGGGAUAACAGGCUGAUACCGCCCAAGAGUUCAUAUCGACGGCGGUGUUUGGCACCUCGAUGUCGGCUCAUCACAUCCUGGGGCUGAAGUAGGUCCCAAGGGUAUGGCUGUUCGCCAUUUAAAGUGGUACGCGAGCUGGGUUUAGAACGUCGUGAGACAGUUCGGUCCCUAUCUGCCGUGGGCGCUGGAGAAUUGAGGGGGGCUGCUCCUAGUACGAGAGGACCGGAGUGGACGCAUCACUGGUGUUCGGGUUGUCAUGCCAAUGGCAUUGCCCGGUAGCUAAAUGCGGAAAAGAUAAGUGCUGAAAGCAUCUAAGCACGAAACUUGCC
Molecule: ribosomal RNA, 629 nt
Filed under: Klebsiella ornithinolytica
Lineage: Bacteria; Pseudomonadati; Pseudomonadota; Gammaproteobacteria; Enterobacterales; Enterobacteriaceae
Description: partial 23S ribosomal RNA
Rfam family: Bacterial large subunit ribosomal RNA
Source: RNAcentral